Molecule: long non-coding RNA, 765 nt
Filed under: Homo sapiens (human)
Lineage: Eukaryota; Metazoa; Chordata; Mammalia; Primates; Hominidae
Description: testis expressed 41
Source: RNAcentral
AUCUUGAAAACGGAAAAUAAAAACAGCAGACCUAUGAAGGUCGAAGGGGAAGAAAAGCUGUAUCGAUUGUUGAGAUCUGGCGACUUGUUUAAAUUUCAUCAGCCUCACUUCUAUGAACUCUCAGGACAAACUGCAACAGAGUCACAUCGAGUUGAGACUUCUCCAAGGGCCAUGGGGUUGACAUCUGUAUUCUCAGAGCUGAUUACCAACUCCUACCACUGUUAACCCUCAUCCAGGAACAAGCUUAUGUCUUUAACAUUCUGAGUGGGCUUCAGCAUCCUUGCAUAUGUUCAAUUCUUAAAAACCUGUUGAAAUAAAAGAUCAGGAGACAUAGGAAGGAUGCCAGAAGAGAGCGUGGCCUCACGUGUACCAGCUCUCUGCUCUCCUUUGCCUUGGGACGUUCCAUCCCUGGAAGUUUCCCUGCCCACAUCUUUGUAGAGAGUCCAUUCUCCAAGCUUCAGUGUGUCAUCUGUGAGGACCGUGACCCACCUGGUACAUCGCCUCAGGGCAUUCAUUUCAGGCUCCUUCUAAAUGGCCAAGUUUUCAAGAUUGUUUUGGCUCUAGCAAAACAAGUUGGAACAUUCACAUCAUCCACUGCACUGAUGAGGAAACUGAAACAGAAAAUCCAGAGUAAAUUCCACCAGGCCACACAGCAAGGUCUGAUAGAGCCAGGAGAGACUUUAUGAAAUCCAGACUCUCACACUAAUGCUCUAUCAGCUAGACCUCCAUGUGAGUCUCCCCAAUGUAGGUAGGAAGUGCUUUCCC